RNAcentral lists this ribosomal RNA (251 nucleotides) under uncultured prokaryote. Its description in RNAcentral is "partial 16S rRNA". It matches the Rfam family "Bacterial small subunit ribosomal RNA", at positions 525 to 775 of the family's 1533-position model. The record is from RNAcentral.
ACGGAGGGUGCAAGCGUUAUUCGGAAUCAUUGGGUGUAAAGCGCGUGUAGGCGGCUUGGAAAGUCAGAUGUGAAAGCUUCGGGCUUAACCCGGAAAGUGCAUUUGAAACUCCCUAGCUUGAGUCCCGGAGAGGAAGGUGGAAUUCCCAGUGUAGAGGUGAAAUUCGGUGAUACUGGGAGGAACACCGGUGGCGAAGGCGACCUUCUGGAAGGUGUCUGACGCUGAGACGCGAAAGCGUGGGGAGCAAACAG